This 326-nucleotide unclassified non-coding RNA is filed under the name soil metagenome. RNAcentral's name for it is "partial contains 5.8S ribosomal RNA, internal transcribed spacer 2, and large subunit ribosomal RNA". The stretch from base 1 to 120 matches the Rfam family "5.8S ribosomal RNA", at positions 35 to 154 of the family's 154-position model. The record is from RNAcentral.
GAUGAAGAACGUAGCGAAAUGCGAUAAGUAAUGUGAAUUGCAGAAUUCAGUGAAUCAUCGAAUCUUUGAACGCACAUUGCGCCCCUUGGUAUUCCGAGGGGCAUGCCUGUUCGAGCGUCAUAUUAACCGCUCCCGCUUGCGGGGUCUUGGGCUUCGCCUCCGGGCGGGCCUUAAAAUCAGUGGCGGUGCCGUCGGGCUCUACGCGUAGUAAAUUUUCUCGCGAUAGGGUCCCGGUGGAUGCUUGCCAACAACCCCCAACUUCUUAAGGUUGACCUCGGAUCAGGUAGGGAUACCCGCUGAACUUAAGCAUAUCAAUAAGCGGAGGA